AGUGAACGCUGGCGGUAGGCCUAACACAUGCAAGUCGAACGGCAGCACAGUAAGAGCUUGCUCUUACGGGUGGCGAGUGGCGGACGGGUGAGGAAUACAUCGGAAUCUACUUUUUCGUGGGGGAUAACGCAGGGAAACUUACGCUAAUACCGCAUACGACCUACGGGUGAAAGCAGGGGAUCUUCGGACCUUGCGCGAUUGAAUGAGCCGAUGUCGGAUUAGCUAGUUGGCGGGGUAAAGGCCCACCAAGGCGACGAUCCGUAGCUGGUCUGAGAGGAUGAUCAGCCACACUGGAACUGAGACACGGUCCAGACUCCUACGGGAGGCAGCAGUGGGGAAUAUUGGACAAUGGGCGCAAGCCUGAUCCAGCCAUACCGCGUGGGUGAAGAAGGCCUUCGGGUUGUAAAGCCCUUUUGUUGGGAAAGAAAAGCAGCAGGUUAAGACCCCGCUGUUCUGACGGUACCCAAAGAAUAAGCACCGGCUAACUUCGU
RNAcentral lists this ribosomal RNA (491 nucleotides) under uncultured bacterium. Its description in RNAcentral is "partial 16S ribosomal RNA". It matches the Rfam family "Bacterial small subunit ribosomal RNA", at positions 29 to 506 of the family's 1533-position model. The record is from RNAcentral.